This 6803-nucleotide long non-coding RNA is filed under the name Xyrichtys novacula (pearly razorfish). The record is from RNAcentral. Lineage: Eukaryota; Metazoa; Chordata; Actinopteri; Labriformes; Labridae.
AUCAUUAACAAGCUCGCAUGACAAAUACACGGAGUAAAUCGUUGAAAUAAGGAAAACAAAAAAGGGAAAAUGCAUAAACUAAAAUAUGCUUUUUAAUAGUUUAUUUAUACUAGUAUAACGCAAACUCGUGCAGAUUAAAUUGGUGUAUUUUUCAUCCUUCAAAAGACUCAUUUGGUGAAUAUUUUGCCUCUAAUUUUCCCAUAUUUCCUCAUCAUCUGUGUCUCUUUCUCACGCUCUCUCUCCCUGCCUCUCCACACACGCAUGCGUCAAGCAGCGGGCUGUAGCUUCUAACAAGACGAUUUCCAUCAUAUCUUCCUUUACAAACCCUGAAAUUAUUGCUAAAAUGCCCGUUUUGGAGGAAAAAUUCCCCUCACCCCGACCUCACAGAACAAUGUAGCCCACAGCUGAGGACGCCCCCGACUUUUUCUCUCUUUUUUUUCUGAGCGCCGAUCGGAAGCCUGCAAAGAGAAAAAGCUUCUCCAAUCCUCCACAUCGGCAGACUGUGAUGUACAUCAUCUUCCAUGAGGUAGUAUACAGUCUGCAUGCUCGGGUUGUUUAUUUCAGCGCAUUUUGAAGUUUGAAAUUGUGUCAGGCUAUCUGUCAGUGAGCAGCGUGCAUGCAAUUUGACAUGUAGGCAGCUCUGAACCUACAGCAGCUUAUAGGCUUCAUUCAGAGAUCAAUGAAUGAGAUAAGAGGAAAUUAUUUUAGGGGCUGAGCCGCCCCUGCUCACAAGGGAGAGGUCGACUAUGUUUCUUAUUCAAAAUGGGAUUGUCUAAUAAAUGCACGUCUCAAAGUUCCCUCGACAAUUUAGCGGGGUAAUGAGAAACGCAAUAGGUUUUAAAUCGUGGAGGAUGGGGGGUGAUUAUUUCCCAUAGACAGUUUGUCUUUAAUUUCCCCAACAAAAAAUGUCGGUGCAUUUUAAAAUGUCCAACUGAUAAGACAAAAUCACCAAAUUGAAGUUAAAACGAAAUAAAGUGGCCUACACUUGGACGGGCGUCACCGAUUUCGGAACAUUUCUCUCCACCUACAAAAAAAAUGUAACUUUUAAAACGCGAAAUAUGUCUAUAAGAAAAAAAAGAAGGAUUUUCAUAUUAAAUAAUGAUUAAAUUUUAACUAUCUUGGAUCUUAUUUUUGUUCGUAAAAAGCUGUCAGAGUGAAAACAAACAGUUGUUGGUACGUUAUGAAAGGAACAACUAGUGUGAGUUUAUUUGAACCAAUUAGAGUGUAAAUUACGCACAAACAACAACUCAAAGUCACAAACAGAGGCAUGUUUUUGAACUCCUAAGACCCCCGCCCCACCCAGAACCACACACACACACACACACACACACACACACACACACACACACACACACACACACACACACACAAAACCAGGAUUAUCUAAGGACACAUGUCCAUCCAUCUCGCCUUAAAAAGUGAAUGGGGAGCGGGCCGACACACACAGAGCCUAUUAGCCAACUUGGGCUCCUGUGGAGAGCACCGAGGUAAGCUCCCCCACCGGAACUGUCCAUGGUGCUGAAGCGCUAAGAGGUUUUCUUUACUGCUCAUUGCGUCCUGCUUCAAAAACUCUUAAAAGCUAGGGUUGACAUUUCAAUGCCUUUUAUUGUAUUUCCAUCCUAUUUAGUAAUGGUUCUCUGAGAAAAAAUGAAAUAUUAGAAACUGAGACAACUCACACUGGCUACAACUUUCCCAACUUUUUCUUUUUUACAGCGCAAGGUUUUUAAGCUCCCUUUUCCCCAGUGUGGGAGAACUUCUCUUCAAGUAUUGCUGGAACUAACAUGGCGCCAUAGAUGAUCAUAAACACUGUUAAAUGAUGCAAAACAUGGCCAUCUGUCCCUAAAAAUAUGAAAAAGAAAUCCCAGUCAGUUCAGUAUCUAUCGAAACAAACCUUCGGUGGUCAGAAGUUGAGUUGUAGUUGGGUUGAUAGAUAAAUCAACUUACUUUAAAGUUCCUGAAAGGACCUUUUAUCUGGUAACAAAAUUGUCAAAAAUUAAUAUUUAUGCAAGUGUGUGCACCACAAAAGCAACCAUGAUCAUCAGUAACAAAAGUGGUUGUGUUGAGACCCACAUUUUUAUUGUCUGAAGUUGCUAAUGGGGUAGGUGUCAUUACAGCGAGCUAUCAAAGAGCCUCUUCAAAAUACUGAAAUAAUACAGAUUCAUUAAGCUGCUUGUAAGAUAGCAAAAAUUACAAAGGCAGAAUUUUAUUUUAGUGAUUUGUUUUAAAAACGGGACUUACUCAUAAACAGGACAAAUUCAGCAAAUAGAUAAAUCCUCUUAUUUUGUCCACAGGGGGCGCCAAAAUCGACUCAACCAGAAAGUUCCUCACAGGAGCUGAAGGCAACCAUGGCCUUCGUGGGGACGGUUGUAGAACACAAAAUUGUAAAUAGGUAAAAAAGAAUAAAAAAAACAAAAACAAAUAAAGUUUCAAAGGCCAAUCAGAUUACCUCAGUCCGGGUUGGUUUUACUAACAAAAUUGUUCCAGCAAUUAGCCAGGACUACUAGCAGAUGCAGAGUGAAGCGAUUCUAAAUGUUACAGUCUAUACAACAAAGUUUUCAAAGAAAUAAUUAAAAAAUGAACAAAGAAUUCAAAUACCUGAAUAGUCAAUUGUGAAUGUGCUCACAAAGAGACAGUCUCACCACAGUGGAAAUAGUACUGGGGUUUAAUUCGGCACAUAAUAUGACAGAUUUUUCAUGUUGCCCUCUCAUAAGUUUCAUUCAUUGACAUCGAGAAGCAAUCGUAAAAGCAAUGAACGGGCUGCAGAUCCAACAAGGGUCAUAUGUCGCCAAGUUAGACCCAUAAAUCAUAUCUUUGUGAUAAUUAUUUCUCAGUAAUAAAAUAUCAGACUUUAAUAAAAUAUUUUAAAAUGACCAAACUUAAGCUGUUUUGCUUUUAUUGUGCAGCACUGAAGCGUACCGCACAGAGCAGUGAAAAAUUAACAAAGGUUCAAGGCAUCAGGUAAUAAUGAAAGGAUAGGGGCAACACUUCAAAGACCACAAGGCCACAUCACACAAUUAUACAAUACAAUUAGGAUUAAAGGGGCAAAAGAGAUAACAGGAGAUAGGGAUAAAUUAUCACAAAAGGAAAGAUGUGACUCUCUCCUGACCUUCAUUAAGAGGAAAAAAAACUCAUUUACAGCCUGCCUUCCUUGCAGGGGGAUUUGAGCCUUUCACAUGAGACUGUGACGCACCAGAUAAGAUUUACAGAGCAUAAAUGAGGGUCUGAACUACACUAAACAAUUACAUCAUAUUUGUUUCCUUAAUAAAACAAUAGCUAAAGAAAAUAAAACAUUAUUAAUGCAAUAAAUUCAUUUUAGUAGAGCAGAGCAGGUUCCUUUUGGGGCCAGUUUGUCAUAGUCUGAAUUCUGAUACUUUUUAAAGACGAAGUCAUCAACAUUGUGGUUAACCUCUGCAGCUGUCUUGUGCCAUUCUUGCACCAAACAGUUUAAAGUUGUUUGACUCUCACAGAUCAUUUCCAUGCUUAGAAAAAAUGAGAGUUUUGCUGGACCUGAGGUGUUCAGAUUGUUUGAUGUAGAGCAGAAAUGGUGGACAUUUUCACAGUGGCCAACAAGCCCAAAUAAUCUUUCAAAGAGCCAUGCUGCAAAUCAAUGAGAGACGCAAAUUAAUAAAUACAUGCAUAAGAUCCAAACAAUACAACUGCACAGGGUUCCAGUUAGCCCAAUGGUGUAAGUGUGCAAGACGUGUAUAGAACCUACGUCCUCACUGCGGCAGAUGCUGGUUCAACUUCCUGUCACAACCCUUUCUAAUAAAGGUACAAUUGUCUGAAAUAUCAGUUUAAAUUUUUGCAAAGGCAGACACAUACUGUAAAUGACAAUAUUGCAAAAAGACAAAAUAGCUGCAAAGAUGCUGUAAAUAAAUAAACAAUGCAAAUCCAGGAAUGCACGAAAACAUAAAAUAUAUACAAAAGAAAAAUGCUGCAUAUCAAGACAUGACAACAGGAGUGUUCCAGGCCUGUGGGGGCAGCACAUGAAAUUGUCUGGUAUCUUCUGCUACUGACAUUAGGGAGAGUGAGGAAAGACAAGGUAGUGAAGUCAUUAUCUGACCACACAGCAGAAGACUCCGCUAGAGUGUAAAGGCUGUGAGGCCUCACUGACUACUGAGCAAAAACACAAUGUACAGUAGAACCCAUGCAAUCUUAGUGAGAACAAGUUUCUGGUAGAAAUAUAGCUACACCAGAGUUAGCACUUUAAAGCAUGGCUUGAAAACUCUCGGUUAACUGUGCAACCGGAACUAUUAGUUGGCUAAACCUUGGUUUAUUGCUGUUUUAUUUAGGGCACCGGUGAUUGUUUUGAUGGUGUCAUUGGAUAAAUUCAUUACCACCUGAAUUUCUCUCCCAGCUGAAGUGGUGUACAAUCUGUGCUUUACCUUCCCCCCAAUGUACCAGUAUUUCAACUUGUUCCACCUCGCCACAAACAACUUGUUGUGGUUGUUAAAGGGGCAUGCCUCCUUCCCUGCUGCUUCUCAAAGUUAUUAUUACAUAACGCAAGUGAGUCUGGCUCUUUCCUUCAACAGUCUCCAAUUUACUAAUAAGUAGGCUAUUGCACAGAUACUACAGCUAUAGUAUGAAGAAAAACAUCCUUUAUUAAUGAUCACUUCAACCAAAUAACAAAAAAUUAUGAGUUGUUUUUAAUGGUAGUACCUAAUGCCUCUAGCAAUAUGGUAAUUAAAUUUUGUUUCAAUAGUAAGAAAAAGGAAAGUAGGGGAGACAGGGCUUGUUGUCACUCUUUUUAUACUCUUGUAUAUUUCUUGGAAUCAAUACAAGUCAUAUAAAAAGUGUACCAGAUGAAAGACCGAGUCGUAAGUAUAUACUGUAUUUUGUUUGUCAUUUUCAUAUCUUGUGUCAGUGAAGAGUUACAAGCAAUCAAAUAGAGAGUGUGAAUAUGUGACAUGUUGCCCCACUACUGGGUAAGUUGUCUCAUUAUUAGGGGUAAGAUGUCACACUGCAACUAACCACCACCUCUGAUCUGUUAAGUGUGGUAAUAACUCUGAUUUAUGGAUGUAUGACACAGGUGGAGGGGAUCUGAUGACAGGACUUACCGCUGGAUAAACAUCAGGCUGGAGGGAGCAGCAAAACUGGCAUAUCUGUCAUUAUUGACCUAUGUUUGUGGGACAGUUCUCAAAUUUGAUGCCACCUCUUCUUUUGAGGUCAAAUGUUCAUAAUGAUGCCUUUGAUACAGUUUACAAGGGAUAAUUGGCUCUUACUAAAGCCUGAAGCUACAGCUGAUAGGUGGAUGUAUUUGUGUGUUAGAGUGUGUGUCAUGUAGGUCCUGUUUUAAUACUAACAAUGGGAAUAGUCUGAUAAUCACUGAUUAUUGCCCAAUAUUCGGCAUUUAGCUGAUUAUCUGUAUCAGCUUUUUAUUGUAUGGAUGGCCCAAAAAAUUACUCUUUAUAAAGUGCGCUAAACUUUGUUUCCACUACCUGUGUUUCUUCCCCUCUGGGUCUGUUUUCACUCCCCACUCCACCUCACCUAAUAAUGUCAUAAUGCUGUCUGAUUGGCUGGGCAUCAAACAACCAAACUGUUGAACAUGCAGUUUUGAUGAAAUAUUUGCUAAAUGCAUGAAACAAAGUUUUGAGAUGGCGCUUGAAAUAUCCCAAAUUAAAAGUUUUGACCGAAUGACUGUUGUUUUUACCGUCAUUGUUCCAGAUAUCAUUUAUCCCCAUGAAUGAAUAAUCAUCAAUAUUGGCCCUUAACAAUCAAUAUCAGUCAACCCCUAACAUACAACACUGACUAUAAGGAGACACAUUAUUUGGAUUGACUGAUUUAGUGUAGUAUAGUGCAGAUGAUUUAUGAUAAUAAAAAUGUGGAAUGUGGGGAAGUACAGCUUGUAGGUCAAGGUGUUCAUGUGGACAAUGUAAAACACAAGAUACAAAAAAACUCACAGUUUCUCUCUUUAAAUGUCUUACCACAGGGCUACAUGUUCCCCCAAACUGAACCCUGAGACACACAACAAAGCUCCAGGAAUCAGGUGAUGAAUUCAAAGCUGAAACUGAACAUCAAUAUUCCACUGUGCCCCUCCUGUACAUCUCACAAUUAUACAAAUCAAUCAACCCUCUCUUCCACCUUUCCUCUUUGUUUGUUUACAGAAUUUGCAUCCAGCAUCAUGAAGAAAGAAAACAUUCAUUGGACAAAGAGCUUCUUGUAAAGUCUGAGCUGGACUGUAGCUGCUAAAGAAUGAAAAAAGCGCGAACUCCAGUGUGAAAUAAUGAAACUGAGUCAGUGAAAGAAUGGGGAAUCUUUUGAAGCCUGACACACUGAUGGAGAGCAGGAAAAAAUACAAUUCAAAAAUCUGUAUCAGUCGAUGAUUAAUUAAUUUUGUUGAAUGAUCUGCUCCAGCCUUGUGAGAUAUCAGUUCCCAUUCCUUUUGCACUUUUAUAGAAGAUCUCAAGAGACUGCUGGUUCAAAAGAUGGUUCAAUUUAGAGUCCCGAUGGAAAAUGGUUUUACAAAAUCUUUUCCUCACGUUUGGCUUUGAUGUGUUUAAACUGUCGUAAUCUUACUGUUCGGAGAUGGAGAAAAUAAAUUCUGUUAAUUUUUCAAUUGUAAAUGCUCCUCUUUUUCUUGACUUCACAUUACAUCUGAAGAGAUUAUCAAAGAAAUAUAUAAUGAAUUGAACUGAGACUUUUGAUGAGCAUUAUAGCACUACCAGUUUUCAUUUUCUACUGUACACAAUAUGAAACUGAUUCAGAAUGGAUUGAUUAGAAAUGUUAAAUGAACUGAAAAUGAACUUCUGUGAAUCAUCCCAGACUCUUGUGUAAAUUAAAACAAUAAACACACUCAAAGAUCA